RNAcentral lists this ribosomal RNA (514 nucleotides) under uncultured bacterium. RNAcentral describes it as "bacterial SSU rRNA". It matches the Rfam family "Bacterial small subunit ribosomal RNA", at positions 29 to 516 of the family's 1533-position model. The record is from RNAcentral.
AGCGAACGUUAGCGGCGGGCUUAACACAUGCAAGUCGAGCGAGAAAAGGGCUUCGGCCCUUAGUAAAGCGGCGGACGGGUGAGUAACACGUAGGUAAUCUUCCCUUGAGCGGGGGACAACGAGCCGAAAGGCUCGCUAAUACCGCAUAAGUUCUCAGAGACCUCGGUCUUUGGGAGGAAAGCUAGGUAGCAAUAUCCGGCACUCGAGGAGGAGCCUGCGUCGCAUCAGCUAGUUGGUGGGGUAAUGGCCUACCAAGGCGAAGACGCGUAGCUGGUCUGAGAGGAUGAUCAGCCACACUGGGACUGAGACACGGCCCAGACUCCUACGGGAGGCAGCAGUGGGGAAUAUUGGACAAUGGGCGCAAGCCUGAUCCAGCCACGCCGCGUGAGUGAUGAAGGCCUUCGGGUCGUAAAGCUCUGUGGGGAGGGACGAACCGCCGGAGGGUUAAUUGCUUUCCGGGCAUGACGGGUACCUCCUUUAGCAAAGCACCGGGCUAACUUUCGUGCCAGCCGCC